GUUCACUAUAUUCACACAUGAGGUGAACAGGGAGCUGUGUUCGGGAACUGAAAAAUUUGUGCAGAUUUGAACAACUUUUUACUGGAAGUCGUUCGCGAACUUCAGAAGAGAGCGCGAGAGCGAGCAAAUUUUGACAGUUUGAAAAUGGAGAACCUGCAAAUUUCUACUGGUACUUUUGCAUCUUUGAACAAAUGUUUUGUAAAGUCAGCUGUUUCAUGAAAAGCAGCCGUUACAUGACAAUAAAAAAGAUUCAAGGCAGCAUCUAGGGUUCAGAUACAGAAAACUCGCCAAAUGAAGUUGUAAUUUUACCUCAAGUCGGUUAUUCUACAUUAAAAAACACCAAGGAAAGAGCAAUGAUCCGUCUCUUAAGUGUUUUGAUGGAAUCAUCUACAUCAAAGUGCUACAAUUACACCAAUACCGUUCCUUUGUGUGUCUGGAUAUUCAGUUAAAAGUUACGCAGAGUGGGAUUGAAAAAAGUUAGUACAAAAUAGUCUGCCAAUUGUAAACGGAUACAGAUAUCUUUAAAGAUAACACAGCGUCCGCAGCCGCCACUUGACCAAAUAGAAAUCUCCCUUAGCUUCACAUCAGUGGUCGCAGCAAUUUGUUAGUCUAAUGUUCCUUUGUCAGCACACCAAGUGCUGCCGAUAGAGUACUACAAUAGUGUUCAGACAGGCUGAGGACACUUGUAAGAUACUCGACUCCAGACAGAUACAGAUUCUUCAGCAUCAGUGUAGAGCUUCCGUUUGGGACCAGGGCCUUGCGCUACUUGGCGCCACGAAUGAUAUUCGUAGCUUCGCGCAUUGUAAAUUGUGAUGGCUGUCCAGCGGCAAGGAGAUCACGGAUACUACGCAUGGCUCUUCUUCUAGCCUUGUCACUCUCGGGUCAAUAAAUUGAAGUUUAUCUAAGGAAAAUACCUCACAAGUAUCGCCAGCAUUUUUUAUUUAAAUACCAUUGUUUUCCUAAGCAAGCUAAUAAAAAACUAACAAAUCUGCUGUUGUUCUGCAUAUUUUCACUGCAAAGUACGCGAACGACUAUUUUUGCUUGCAAAUUUUCUGAAGAGAGUAAACUGGCUUUUGCUUCCCUGCAAAUUUUUACUGGAAAAGUACGAAUAAUUCCGACCUCAAUUGUCCCAAAAUACUACUUGCUCGAAGUUACCAACGAUAACUCGCUAGAUGGCAGUAAUACAGUUGGAAAUCUUACUUCUAGAUGCCUUCCAGUUUCACGAGGUGUCCACACAGGAGCAAUAUUAGGCACUCUCCAUUUUUCUUUAUACAGCAAUGACCUUCCUAAACAGUUGCAGAUUUGUAGAAUUCAUAUGUAUGCCGAUGAUGUUCAACGGUAAGCACGUCAGUAGAGAAAAUAAAUGAUACCAUAGUUCGUCUGAAUAACUACCUUGACAGUAUUAAUGCGUGAGCGAAUGCGAAUGACCUUCUAUUGAAUCCCUCAAAGUCAAAAUGCAUAGCCAUUUCCAGAAAUCGCACAAUAUUGUCGCUAAAUAUUAACAUUGCAAUUAAUGGUUCUGCAAUCGAAAUGGUGACCUCAGCGAGUAAUCAUGGCGUAGUUUUUGAUGAUAAAUUAUCAUGGGCGAAUCAUAGUAACUCAAUCAAAUACGAUACCAAUAUUGCAUAUCAGAGUAACAGUUUUUUUUAUCAGUGACAUACGCCUCUGGAAUACUCUUCCCAAUAAUAUCCAAACUUUAAGUAACAAAAAAUAGUUUAAAUCUUCGAUUUUGAAUAAUUUUUAAUCUUUGUAACAUAUUCAAUCUUUUUCUUUCUUUCUUUUAACCAUUUGUUAUUAAACAAAAUUUGAAGCAAAUUU
Stomoxys calcitrans (stable fly) is the source of this 1818-nucleotide long non-coding RNA. RefSeq lists it as uncharacterized. The transcript has 4 exons. The record is from RefSeq and is a predicted model, not a curated record. Lineage: Eukaryota; Metazoa; Arthropoda; Insecta; Diptera; Muscidae.